AGGUCCGAACGCUUCGGGGCGGGGGUGCGGUCUUGCAGUAGGAAGCUGAGCGUCUUGCAAGCUUCCUGUCGGGCACCAGCUACUCGGCCCCGCACCCUACCUGGUGCAUUCCCUGGACACCUCCGGGGUCCCUACCUUGAGGUCCCCGGAGCCCCCUUCCUGCACCAGCCAUGCCUUUAAACCGCACUUUGUCCAUGUCCUCACUGCCAGGACUGGAGGACUGGGAGGAUGAAUUCGACCUGGAGAACGCAGUGCUCUUCGAAGUGGCCUGGGAGGUGGCUAACAAGGGUCCCAGAACUAUGGACCUCGGCCGGGGCCUGCCCUUACACGCUUGGGCCCACAGUGGGUGGCAUCUACACGGUGCUGCAGACGAAGGCGAAGGUGACGGGGGACGAAUGGGGCGACAACUACUUCCUGGUGGGGCCGUACACGGAGCAGGGCGUGAGGACCCAGGUGGAACUGCUGGAGGCCCCCACCCCGGCCCUGAAGAGGACACUGGAUUCCAUGAACAGCAAGGGCUGCAAGGUGUAUUUCGGGCGCUGGCUGAUCGAGGGAGGCCCUCUGGUGGUGCUCCUGGACGUGGGUGCCUCAGCUUGGGCCCUGGAGCGCUGGAAGGGAGAGCUCUGGGAUACCUGCAACAUCGGGGUGCCGUGGUACGACCGCGAGGCCAACGACGCUGUCCUCUUUGGCUUUCUGACCACCUGGUUCCUGGGUGAG
Molecule: small RNA, 717 nt
Filed under: Pongo abelii (Sumatran orangutan)
Lineage: Eukaryota; Metazoa; Chordata; Mammalia; Primates; Hominidae
Description: processed transcript
Source: RNAcentral